UGGAGAUUUUGAAGUAAAUGAAAAAUGGUUUUCUUUGUUCUUGGGUUUUGAUUGAAGGUUUUACUGUUUGACUAGGUGUCUUUGAAUUCAGUUGGCGGAUUACGAAGAUUGAGGUUUGAGUAGCGGUUUGAGUGACAGGUAGCCUCGAUGCAAGUGGUGUUGACUCGACAGAUGGAGAAAUUAGUGUCUGGG
Long non-coding RNA from Papaver somniferum (opium poppy), 192 nucleotides. RefSeq lists it as uncharacterized. The record is from RefSeq and is a predicted model, not a curated record. The transcript is spliced from 3 exons. NCBI's taxonomy places the organism in Eukaryota, Viridiplantae, Streptophyta, Magnoliopsida, Ranunculales, Papaveraceae.